Molecule: long non-coding RNA, 420 nt
Organism: Brienomyrus brachyistius
Lineage: Eukaryota; Metazoa; Chordata; Actinopteri; Osteoglossiformes; Mormyridae
Exons: 5
Source: RefSeq, a predicted model, not a curated record
ACCAUCGUUACAGCUCGUAUAAAUAUCAGCACAUGUGUGAGGUCCAUGGGUCUGCCAUCUAUCCAUGCUUGAUCUUCUGAGGAAACCGGGAGCUCACUGUCCGGUGCCCCCUUUUGGCCCUACAAAGGCUGUCGGGGCUUAGGACCGCAAAAGCAUACGGGGUGUCCUGGUUAACCCGCGCACCUUCCCGCAACGACACUCGGCUUCCGGGCCGGGGACGCUCGCUGGACGCCGGGCGGGAGAUAUCUUCUAGGCUUCCCUUCGUGAUGUCCAUGGCGGCCAGAGGUGGAUGGGUGUCUGCUCACCGACAACAGAUGUGACGCUCCAUACCCCAGCUUGUGCUGCCAUGUAAAACCUCAUUGAUCAUGUUCCUCCCAGCCAUUACGGAGGAGCUAAGGGAAGCUCGACCCCCCCCCCCCC